Xyrichtys novacula (pearly razorfish) is the source of this 3606-nucleotide non-coding RNA. The record is from the annotation of a GenBank genome assembly. Lineage: Eukaryota; Metazoa; Chordata; Actinopteri; Labriformes; Labridae.
AGUCUGACCAGCAGCUGGAAGCCGAGUCCAGAACGAACACUGAGCUCAAACUUCUGAUGUGGAGUUGGAGACGACUUUCAGGAAGUUUUUAAAAGUUUGGUUCAGCUUUUAACAGUUUUUGUUUUCACAUCGUCACCUCUAACGGUGACUGCGUUCACAAGGACACGAGCAGAGGUGGGUGAAAAGAAAAUUACUCAUGGAGAAGUAAAAGUAAAUUUACAUUGUACAGUUUCCAAAUCAUUGUACACAUUUGUGUUACUUAAAGGUCCUGUAAGGGACUUUUGGUUUGUGUCAACUUUGGCGCCCCCUGUGGACAAAACAGUUUUUGCUUAUCUUGUCUUCUACAUGCUUGGAUUGUGACUUCUGACCAUUAAUUUUUUUGUUUAUUUUAAAUAUUUUAUGUGUGAAUUUUAAAAGUUAAACUGUUUUUUCCACUAAUCGCCUGAAACCUACCCCCUCGCGUUAAAAGUUCUCUCUGGUAGUCUUGUUUGCUUUCAGAUAUCAUAAAAGGUUAUCGAUAUUUGUUUUCAGUCUAUUUUAUAAAUGUCAAAAACUCCUCACAGGAGCUUUAAAGUCAAUUACGAUGAACUAGCUUACAAACUAAAGUGGAUAAAUCAAUACAAAACAGUUCUUACCUGACCAUUAGAGUCAGCUGAUCAGACGCAGCCUCUGAUUGGUCAACAGUUUCUUUUCUGCAACACAAACUGCAGCUAAUCUGAAAAAAAAAGAAAAACUUAAACAUGUUCAGAAAAUAUAAUUGGGCCUUUAAAGAUAACAACACAGCAACAGGAAAAAAAAGCAGUUUUUCUCAUGCAUGAAAUAAAAGUGUGCGUGAAAUACGCUGAGCGGCACAAAGCCAAUGAGCAGUAAAGUUUAAUAGUCAUUCUGCAGCGUCCAUCAGAUCCUCCUCCACCUUUAACUGCAUUAAGUUCAAAGUAAAAAUGUCAUUAUAGAACAAACAAGAGCGUGACUGAUGCGAGCAGCUGGUUCCCGCUCUCAGCACAAUAAACAGGCCGUUGCAUGAACUGGAAAGCUUUGUGUGUGUUACAUUGGCUUACCUUGUCGUCAUACCUUCAUGUUUCUUGGCAGGAGGAGAAACAGACUGACAGGAUGAAAAGGAAACACUUUCUGGAUGAAGACUGAGCCACAGUUACCCCACACAGGCGUGCAGGGUGGGCUGUGGAUGAUUGUCAGGUGGGUAGUUUAAAGGUUUGGUGGUUUUAGUACAGUAUUGGAUCGUACUGUAUUAACCAACCUGUAUGAACUGUUUCAUAUCAUGUAUCGUAAAUCAUCUCAUUAUAUUGUGCCCACUCAUAUCAUAUCAUAUCAUAUCACGUCACGUCACGUCAUGUCGUAUUGUAUCAUAUCAUAUCAUAUCAUAACACAUAGAAGCAACUCUUUUUGUGUCAUUUCCUAUCGUGUCAUUUUGAAUCUUUUUAUAUGGUGUACUGGGCCACUUUGUAUCAUCUCAUACUGUGUUGUAUCAUUUUAUAUCAUUUCAUGUCGUAUUGUCCAGUAUAGUAUCAGGUUGGUAUUGUAUCAUAUCUUAUCAUAUCAUGUCUUAUUGUAAUGUGUUGUAUACAAACAUAUCCUACAUAUCAAACCAUGUUGUGUCUGCUUUUAUUGUUCUGUAUCGUAUUGUAUUGUCACAACUAAUAUAGUUUUGUAUCAAAUUGUGUCAUAUCAUAUAUCAUUUCAUUUCAUAUCAUAUCAUAUAUCAAGUCAUAUGUCAUAUCGUCAUGUUAUAUCAUACAUCAUGUCAUUUUGUUUUGGUCAUGUCAUGUUGUUAUAUCAUAUAUCAUAUCUCAUGCCAUAUACAGUAAUGUGUCAUAUGUCAUGUUAUUUCAUAUUAUAUCAUGUCAUCAUGUUAUAUCUUAUGCCAUAUAAUCUCAUGUCAUGUUUUGUCAUAUUAUGUCAUGUCAUGUUAUGUCACAUUUUGUGUCACAUAUCACGUCAUAUCGUGUCAUAUAUCAGAUAAUAUGUAAUGUCAUGUUGUUAUAUCAUAUAUAUUAUGUCAUAUGUCAUGUCAUCUAUCAUGUCAUCAUGUCAUAUUAUAUCAUGCCAUACAUCAUAUGUCAUGUUGUUAUAUCAUAUAUGUCAUGUCAUAUGUCAUAUAUAUUAUAUUAAAUGUCAUGUUAUAUCAUCUCAUUUCAUCUGUCAUGCUGUAUGUUAGGUCAAAUUGCCAUAUCAUGUCAUAGUAUAUAUCAUAUCAUGUUGUGUCAUUGUAUAGUGUCAUCUCAUAUUAAGCUGUAUUGAUUUAUUGAUUCUUAAUGUAUAUUUACAUGUUUCAUCUUCAUUGUGAAUCCUAAAAGAAGUCAUUCUGAAGUUGCACAUUCCACUUACACAUUUCAGUCUGAAACAUUACAUUGUGUUGUAUUGUUUGUGUGGUUUUGAGUCAUAUGCUAUUAUAUUGUGUCCUUCUGCAUGAAAGCAUAUUGUAUUUCAAUGUGAUGUAUAGGAUUGUGUAUCCUAUCAUACCGUAUCAUAUUGUAUUGUAUGAUAUUUAUCAUAUUGUAUUGUGUCACUGCUGUUUGUUAUCAUAUAUAUAUUAAGUUGUGUCUGAUUGUAUUGGGUUGUAUAUCAUACAGUUCUGUGUUGUAUCCUCAGAAUCAACUCUGGACGUCAUCUCCAGCCGACAUGCUGAAAUGUGCUUUAGGGAUAAACAGAUAAACUCCAUCUGCUGUGGUAGAUCAGGCCAUAUGAGUGAAGAGUCUGUGAUGGGAUUAUUCUGUCAACUCUCAAAAACCAGAAAGAGUUCAGCUUUGUGUGAAAAUUAUGAUGCCCUGCUGACAAAUAGCAGCUCCUUCACAUUAAAAGAAUCAACCUGGAUGAGAACUAUAAUUCUGGAUGACACCUGGUUUUAAUUUGAAGUGCCCGUAACAUCUCAGCAGCCAGGUUUCCUGUCCUACUUUGGAUUUACCGCAGAUAUUUUUGAGUGAAAUAUUACAAGUGCUGAAGAGAAAAACAGCACAAUAAGUCUAAGUGUGACAGCUCAGUGUACAGGAUUGGAGCGGGGGCGGAUAGAUGGUAGCAGCUCCUCUGAGAAAUGUUUACUAAUUGUGAUAAUGUCUCUAAUGCUGUCAGCAAGAUGAGAGAGGAGGAAGCAAAAAAGAAAACGUCUGCGACAAGAAAACACGAGUGCAGCAUUUCUGAGAAUUACAUUUCAUCGUGUAACCUUUGUUCAGCAAAUUUAGGGUGUGAUGGGGGAAGUUUUUUCCAGAUGUUAUUGCCCCUGACAGCUCUGCAGAAUAUAAAAACGACCGAGUCAAAGCUGAAGGGAGAUAAUUUUAUUAGGCUGUUUGGGUGAACGCAAUAAAGACGACCUGGAGACGGGCGAACGCAUGUAAAGUCUGCAAACACUCUGCUUACUCUGGAUUUAGACUCACAGGAUGAAGAGGAGGGAGGCAGGGGGGAGGAUGGUUUGAGAAACAGCAUAAUGUGAGGGAGUAAAAAAAUGAAAAUAAGAGGCUCAUUAUCAGCCGACUGCUACAGAGCAGCAGAGAGCGGCUGUCAGGAUGAUCAGGAUGGAUUUAGUCAAAGACUCGGAAUCAAAGGGCAGCACCUAAUCAUCUGUUUACAGCAAACAGCAGCUCCUGAGGCGAGGAG